Condylostylus longicornis is the source of this 551-nucleotide long non-coding RNA. RefSeq lists it as uncharacterized. The transcript is spliced from 3 exons. The record is from RefSeq and is a predicted model, not a curated record. NCBI's taxonomy places the organism in Eukaryota, Metazoa, Arthropoda, Insecta, Diptera, Dolichopodidae.
UUUUGGUAAUGCAGCCACGUUAUACUCGUAUGUUUAGCUAGAUACCUUUGUGCCACAAGCAUUUAACAAUAUAAUUGUAUAGGGAGAAACAAAAAGGAAUAAAGGUUAUGAAUUUGGAAAAACAUUAAAGAAAUCAAAAUACAUUUUUGGUAAACAUACUAGUCAAACUAAUAAAACGGAAUAAACAGCAUGUGAGUGAAUUUAAUGAGAGUAUGACUUCAUGGAUAGUUGUAUAUACUUGCGACAACUUAUAUGUGCUCCUGAUAUGGUUUAUUAAUAAAAGCUGUUAGUGAGGUUUUAAUUGCGAAUUAGGCGAAAUGUCAAUAGAAGUUAAUUUAAUCAAUAGGGAUCGGAAUUUCUUAACUUUUAGAGAGUUGCUGUUCGGUACUUGAAUGAUAUACUUGAACUUAGUGCAUGUAUCUUUGAAUUCUAACACUAUUACAAAAUUGAUAAAAUUAUAUAUAAUUUCAAUGGAAAAUAUAUCUUUAAUCCAGCAACAUAAAAAGAAAACAUAAGUAUUGAGCUACUGCAAGUUAUCUAGUUAGAGCACG